Nothobranchius furzeri (turquoise killifish) is the source of this 1697-nucleotide long non-coding RNA. RefSeq lists it as uncharacterized. Lineage: Eukaryota; Metazoa; Chordata; Actinopteri; Cyprinodontiformes; Nothobranchiidae. The record is from RefSeq and is a predicted model, not a curated record.
AUUUGUCAGGUUUGAGUCAACAGGUGUCGUACCGAUGUGUGUAUCCCCGACAGAAUGAGUCAGGAGCAUGCACCAGGGAGGAAGACACAGAUUCACUCCACUGGGCCAGGAAAUUUGUGAAAUAACUGAAAGAUGGGUGUUGUUACUUUAUUGUUCAGACUCUGGGUGAAAGUGCUACAUUUUAUCCAGAUGCUAUCCGGUCACUUUAGCUGUGAACACAUCUUGUCCUCAGCUGUCUACUGGCUGCUAGCAAACACCAACAUUUAACCAAGGUCUGUUGUUGUUCCUCCGGAAGCCCAGCAGAGAACAUUCCCACUGACCCCAGAAGCUACGUUAACAUGUCUGAUGUUCAUGAUUCUGCUGCACUGCCACCAGUGCAGAGGUGGAUGAAUCACCAGGAUGAAGCAUAUGAAACUUCUCUAAAUCCAGAGCUGAUGGAGCAGAUCGGCCAACCAGAAGCUGUUUCCUGACCACUUCAGGGCAGCAGGAGAGAAGAAACCUUCAAGCUUCCUGGACCAUCAAACACUCAUCACUGGAAAACCGCCACAGUGUAACGGAAUGAAAUGACUGUUUUCCACCUAAAAGUCAUUCCCCCCCCCCCCCCCCCCUCCUCAGCAAGAACUAAUCUGCAUGAGACAUUGCUCAAGGUCUCAUGCAUGUGCUUCUAAAACUUUUCCUUUCCAGCCCAAGAGAAGAUUGAAGACAAAGGACUCUUUCUUUUUAAUAAAUCAAAGAACUCUAUUUUUAAUAAGCUAAUCAAACAAAGUGUUAGUCAAUAAAAAAUGUUGACCAAACUGUGAAAUGACAAUGUUAUGAUUAGUAUGUGUACUUUAAUCUAGCUGCACUAGACAUCCAGAUACACGUAAUGUAAACGUAUGACACAUUGCUUUUACUCGUCCAAUCGGAACCUUCCUUUCUGAAGCAUGGCAUAGUCUCUGUGGUGUUUAUAAAUCUGUCCAACUUUGAUUCGACCGUAAAUCAAAACAUCCAGAUUAAUAAAACUAGUCCCCACGCCAUCUUAGUCCAGUUCUCUGAGUACUCUACAGUUCACCGCAUUCUAAGAGAAGUAUCGGACCGGCCACCCGGACUUCCUUUUUAAGCAAAGAACCAACAAGCUGGAUAAAAUCUGUUGCAUUUUACCAACCAAGCAACGGUUCCUUUCAGAAUAAAAGCUGAACUCACUGGCCCUCUGGGUCCAUCUAACGCUGUCAACCAACUGUCGCUUUUUACCUGGAGACAAUCCAAAGACUAGUCUGUCGUACUGCUGACGCUGUUUCAUCGGCUCCGGUACCGAAAGGGGGGUCAGAGGACCUGGCAUUCUGGAUCUGUACGGAGGUCUCAUCCUGAAGGGUAUGUGUACAGCGACAAAAUGGCGUCUUAUAUGUUUAUGAAACUAUGAUCAUAGCUUAAGAGCAAAACAUCACAACAUCACUCAGACUUGCUUCUCUGGAUAUGAGAGUUCUGAUGACAAACAUUACUCACACAUACACCAUUCAUCUCAUGUCUCAUUCACACCAAGAUCCAGCCAUUCACUUAGAAUUUAGUUAGUCUUGUUUAAAAUUGUUUAGAAAUAAAUCUUCUUAAAUUUCAAAGGUGACUCUCUCUUCUCUUGUCUCUCAGUUAAUAGGAAGUGUUACAUAAUCCCUGCAAUAAAAAGUUCCAAUCUUCUGGUUAAAAGUACCCAAAGAUCCAUAAGA